AUCUAUCUAUCUAUCUAUCUAUCUAUCUAUCUAUCUAUCUAUCUAUCUAUCUAUCUAUCUAUCUAUCUAUCUAUCUAUGUGGCAUUUAUACCCCGCCUAUCUGGUCAGAUGACCACUCUUGUUUACUGCCUUACACCAGUAAGGCAGUAAACAAAAGCUACACCAAGAAACCUACAUCCAAAGCAGUAAGGUGCAACAAUAUUUUUUUAAAACCCCACGUAGGCAGCUAAUCAUUAAGGGAAAAACUUGCCUGGAGAGAAAGAUCUUCACUGGAUGGCAGAAAGAGAGCAAAGAUGGGGCCAGUCUGGCCUCCAGUGGGAGGGAGUUCCAGAGUCUGGGAGCAGCCGCAGAGAAGGCCCUCUCUCUUAUGUCCACACCAAACACAACAGUGAAGGUGGUGGGACUGAGAAAAGAGCCUAGAACGCAGGGUCCCAAAUCCAGAUUUUCUCAGCUCUUGAUACCAUUUUAUUUCUCCUACGCCCAGGGUUAGCACCAAAAGCCAGCUAAUCAACUUAAGAGAAGAAGGCUAUUCAGAUCAGCUGAUGGACAAGGCCAGGCCCGAGAUUACUGUGAAGGAUUGGUUUUACACCCCCUUCCUGGCGCAUUGUCAACUGCGGGUGAGGCUGCUCUCGGCCGAUUUCGAGGUUCUCCGGGAAUGCUGGCUAACGAGCAACAAUGAAGAAUGGAAUGAGGUGAGAAAAAAUGGGAGUGGGCGAGGGGUCCCCCAUCUGGUAAUGACCCUCUCACCCCCAGUGAUGUGUGCAUGUCUCCAUCUGGCUUACGCCCAGAUCGGUCGUGCUGGGUGCAACUGUGUGUUUUGAAUCUCACACCCUUCCUGCCAAACGUCCAGAAGAAUCCGUGAUGUUUGAAAAGUCUGGAUCCCAAAGAGCAGCGUUCUGAAUCCCCCUUACCUGCCCAAAUUCAGUAAUGUGACCUUUUCCAUCUCGGCCUCCUUCUAAUUAAUGCAAUUAGCUUUUACAUCCCUUCGUUUCUUUCCCGUUCCAGUGCUGGAAUUAAGAGCCGGCCACUCCCUCUUUCGUUUCCAGGUUUCCUACACCUUUGACGAUUACCCUCCUGGCGUCUGCUACAUUGAUCUGGAACAUGAAGUGCAAUACCGGUUUGGGGGAAAAAUAACCAACACCACAAUCAUCCUUGAUCCAGAAAGGAGUGAGAGAAACAUCAUUC
This 1185-nucleotide long non-coding RNA is filed under the name Pogona vitticeps (central bearded dragon). RNAcentral's name for it is "lncRNA (ENSPVIG00000004668.1)". The record is from RNAcentral. Lineage: Eukaryota; Metazoa; Chordata; Lepidosauria; Squamata; Agamidae.